Molecule: ribosomal RNA, 1343 nt
Filed under: uncultured bacterium
Lineage: Bacteria
Description: 16S ribosomal RNA
Rfam family: Bacterial small subunit ribosomal RNA
Source: RNAcentral
GACGAACGUUGGCGGCGUGCUUAACACAUGCAAGUCGAACGGAAAGGCCCUGCUUUUGUGGGGUGCUCGAGUGGCGAACGGGUGAGUAACACGUGAGUAACCUGCCCUUGACUUUGGGAUAACUUCAGGAAACUGGGGCUAAUACCGGAUAGGAGCUCCUGCUGCAUGGUGGGGGUUGGAAAGUUUCGGCGGUUGGGGAUGGACUCGCGGCUUAUCAGCUUGUUGGUGGGGUAGUGGCUUACCAAGGCUUUGACGGGUAGCCGGCCUGAGAGGGUGACCGGCCACAUUGGGACUGAGAUACGGCCCAGACUCCUACGGGAGGCAGCAGUGGGGAAUAUUGCACAAUGGGCGGAAGCCUGAUGCAGCAACGCCGCGUGCGGGAUGACGGCCUUCGGGUUGUAAACCGCUUUCGCCUGUGACGAAGCGUGAGUGACGGUAAUGGGUAAAGAAGCACCGGCUAACUACGUGCCAGCAGCCGCGGUGAUACGUAGGGUGCGAGCGUUGCCCGGAUUUAUUGGGCGUAAAGGGCUCGUAGGUGGUUGAUCGCGUCGGAAGUGUAAUCUUGGGGCUUAACCCUGAGCGUGCUUUCGAUACGGGUUGACUUGAGGAAGGUAGGGGAGAAUGGAAUUCCUGGUGGAGCGGUGGAAUGCGCAGAUAUCAGGAGGAACACCAGUGGCGAAGGCGGUUCUCUGGGCCUUUCCUGACGCUGAGGAGCGAAAGCGUGGGGAGCGAACAGGCUUAGAUACCCUGGUAGUCCACGCUGUAAACGGUGGGUACUAGGUGUGGGGUCCAUUCCACGGGUUCCGUGCCGUAGCUAACGCUUUAAGUACCCCGCCUGGGGAGUACGGCCGCAAGGCUAAAACUCAAAGGAAUUGACGGGGCCCCGCACAAGCGGCGGAGCAUGCGGAUUAAUUCGAUGCAACGCGUAGAACCUUACCUGGGUUUGACAUGGAUCGGGAGUGCUCAGAGAUGGGUGUGCCUCUUUUGGGGUCGGUUCACAGGUGGUGCAUGCCUGUCGUCAGCUCGUGUCGUGAGAUGUUGGGUUAAGUCCCGCAACGAGCGCAACCCUUGUUCACUGUUGCCAGCACGUUAUGGUGGGGACUCAGUGGAGACCGCCGGGGUCAACUCGGAGGAAGGUGGGGAUGACGUCAAGUCAUCAUGCCCCUUAUGUCCAGGGCUUCACGCAUGCUACAAUGGCUGGUACAGAGAGUGGCGAGCCUGUGAGGGUGAGCGAAUCUCGGAAAGCCGGUCUCAGUCCGGAUUGGGGUCUGCAACUCGACCUCAUGAAGUCGGAGUCGCUAGUAAUCGCAGAUCAGCAACGCUGCGGUGAAUACGUUCCCGGG